UGGUGGUCUCUGGCCAUCCGAGUUGUAAUCUAGAGAAGUGUUACCCGYGUCGGACCGUGUAUAAGUCUCCUGGAAUGGAGCGUCAUAGAGGGUGAGAAUCCCGUCUUUGACACGGACUACCGAGGCUUUGUGGUAUGCUCUCAAAGAGUCGAGUUGUUUGGGAAUGCAGCUCAAAAUGGGUGGUAAAUUCCAUCUAAAGCUAAAUAUUGGCGAGAGACCGAUAGCGAACAAGUACCGUGAGGGAAAGAUGAAAAGAACUUUGGAAAGAGAGUUAAACAGUACGUGAAAUUGCUGAAAGGGAAACGCUUGAAGUCAGUCGCGUUGGCCGGGAAUCAGCCUUGCUUUUGCUUGGUGUACUUUCUGGUUGACGGGCCAGCAUCAGUUUUGACCGGUGGAAAAAGUUCAGGGGAAUGUGGCAUCUUCGGGUGUGUUAUAGCCCUUGUUCGUAUACAUCGGUUGGGACUGAGGAACUCAGCACGCCGCAAGGCCGGGUCUUUGACCACGUUCGUGCUUAGGAUGCUGGCAUAAUGGC
Molecule: ribosomal RNA, 532 nt
Filed under: Candolleomyces candolleanus
Lineage: Eukaryota; Fungi; Basidiomycota; Agaricomycetes; Agaricales; Psathyrellaceae
Description: Psathyrella candolleana partial large subunit ribosomal RNA
Rfam family: Eukaryotic large subunit ribosomal RNA
Source: RNAcentral